RNAcentral lists this long non-coding RNA (501 nucleotides) under Homo sapiens (human). RNAcentral describes it as "HSALNT0396102". The record is from RNAcentral. Lineage: Eukaryota; Metazoa; Chordata; Mammalia; Primates; Hominidae.
CCUGAGUAGCUGAGACUACAGAUGCCUGCCACCACACGGAGGGUCACGAAGGUGUGUUCCAAGGCCACAUCUCCAACCUCACAGAGAGGACAGGAAGUGAUCAGUACCCCAACUAGCAAGAGUGGCCCGUUCAUUGGCCGAGGUUCUUGAGGAUAGAGUGGGAGGUGGGAGCGUCCCUCGUGCUGCCUUCAUUUUUCCUACCCUCAGCUCAGGGGUCUGUGCUAGAGGAAGACACACGAAGGCUACUGUGCCCCCACCACAAGAGAGGGAAACAGGGAGACGCGUGGGUCUGGAGCCAAGCGUAUCUCUCUGUACCCAUCGCACACGAAUUUGAAUCAUCUGCUCUUUGGAAUCGCCUACACCCUGCUGCACCCACGAUGUGGCUGUAACUCCAUUAAAGAAUUGAAUAUCAUCUUCCACGGAAUCUCUGUCUGCACAAAAGGGGCACAUUUAAUUUUCUGUUUUUUAAAUAAAGGUUUAAAAAAUCCUUUUGCAAAGCGA